UGGGGAAUAUUGCACAAUGGGCGCAAGCCUGAUGCAGCCAUGCCGCGUGUGUGAAGAAGGCCUUCGGGUUGUAAAGCACUUUCAGCGAGGAGGAAGGGUAGUGUGUUAAUAGCACAUUGCAUUGACGUUACUCGCAGAAGAAGCACCGGCUAACUCCGUGCCAGCAGCCGCGGUAAUACGGAGGGGACAAGGGUUAAUAGGAAUUACUGGGCGUAAAGCGCACGCAGGCGGUUUGUUAAGUCAGAUGUGAAAUCCCCGCGCUUAACGUGGGAACUGCAUUUGAAACUGGCAAGCUAGAGUCUUGUAGAGGGGGGUAGAAUUCCAGGUGUAGCGGUGAAAUGCGUAGAGAUCUGGAGGAAUACCGGUGGCGAAGGCGGCCCCCUGGACAAAGACUGACGCUCAGGUGCGAAAGCGUGGGGAGCAAACA
Molecule: ribosomal RNA, 427 nt
Filed under: uncultured bacterium
Lineage: Bacteria
Description: partial 16S ribosomal RNA
Rfam family: Bacterial small subunit ribosomal RNA
Source: RNAcentral